Molecule: transfer RNA, 75 nt
Filed under: Pseudarthrobacter chlorophenolicus
Lineage: Bacteria; Bacillati; Actinomycetota; Actinomycetes; Micrococcales; Micrococcaceae
Also listed under: 1 other name
Description: tRNA_Met_CAT
Rfam family: tRNA
About the family: Transfer RNA (tRNA) molecules are approximately 80 nucleotides in length. Their secondary structure includes four short double-helical elements and three loops (D, anti-codon, and T loops).
Source: RNAcentral
CGCAGAGUAGAGCAGUUCGGUAGCUCGCCGGGUUCAUAUCCCGGAGGUCGCUGGGUUCGAAUCCCGCCUCUGCAA